CGUAGGGUGCAAGCGUUAAUCGGAAUUACUGGGCGUAAAGCGUGCGCAGGCGGUUUGGUAAGACAGAUGUGAAAUCCCCGGGCUUAACCUGGGAAUUGCAUUUGUGACUGCCCGGCUAGAGUUUGGCAGAGGGGGUAGAAUUCCACGUGUAGCAGUGAAAUGCGUAGAUAUGUGGAGGAAUACCGAUGGCGAAGGCAGCCCCCUGGGUCAAGACUGACGCUCAUGCACGAAAGCGUGGGGAGCAAACAGGAUUAGAUACCCUGGUAGUCCACGCCCUAAACGAUGUCUACUAGUUGUCGGGUCUUAAUUGACUUGGUAACGCAGCUAACGCGUGAAGUAGACCGCCUGGGGAGUACGGUCGCAAGAUUA
This 369-nucleotide ribosomal RNA is filed under the name uncultured organism. RNAcentral describes it as "bacterial SSU rRNA". It matches the Rfam family "Bacterial small subunit ribosomal RNA", at positions 526 to 896 of the family's 1533-position model. The record is from RNAcentral.